RNAcentral lists this long non-coding RNA (1810 nucleotides) under Homo sapiens (human). Its description in RNAcentral is "non-protein coding lnc-CYB5R2-1:7". Lineage: Eukaryota; Metazoa; Chordata; Mammalia; Primates; Hominidae. The record is from RNAcentral.
AGGACAAAUACAGAAUGUGAGGUGCAGGGAGCUGAAGGCCCCUGGGAAGUGACCAACUCAGCAUUUCGCUGGAGGCUAUAGGAUCAAACAGCAAACUGUUUAUCAUGAAUGCAGGAUGUGGGCAAACUCACACUGCCCUGCCACCAAAAGAACAGGGACGCCAAGGAUGCCAACAAGUGGCGUCUGAACACGGGACUUCGACGAUGUGAACAAAAAAGAUCUGCUGGAGCAGAGAAGCUGAAAUUGACAAGGCAAACGGGGACCCCAGGAUGAGUCUGCCGGCAGCAUAUAUAAGGCAGGGACUAUAGGAAAUGAAGGUGAACUCGUGGAGAUUUUGGAGAGAAUUUAAUGAAGAGGCUGUUUACCAAGGAUCUCUCUCUGUCUCCGAGGCUGGAGUGCAAUGUUGCAAUCAGGGCUCACUGCAGCCUCGACCUCCUGGGCUCAACUGAUCUUCGUACCACAGCCUCAUGAGUAACUGGGACUACAGAUAGUAUCUCAUGAUAUGAAUGGUCCUGGAUUUACUUACACAUCCUCCUUUGGAUGAGCAAGACAACAACAUACCUGGACAGAAAUGCCUCGAGGAUGUACUGAAGGCCCCUCUCACUUUUCACAGCCAUAACUGUAAGUUUCCUGGGGCCUCUCCAGAAGACAAGCAGAUGCCGCUAUGCUUCCUGAACAGCCCACAGAACUCUCCCAGUUGUGGGCAGAGUCUGGUUAAGGUACAGCCUUGGAAUUAUUUUAACAUUUUCAGUCGCAUUCUUGGAGGAAGCCAAGUGGAGAAGGGUUCCUAUCCCUGGCAGGUAUCUCUGAAACAAAGGCAGAAGCAUAUUUGUGGAGGAAGCAUCGUCUCACCACAGUGGGUGAUCACGGCGGCUCACUGCAUUGCAAACAGAAACAUUGUGUCUACUUUGAAUGUUACUGCUGGAGAGUAUGACUUAAGCCAGACAGACCCAGGAGAGCAAACUCUCACUAUUGAAACUGUCAUCAUACAUCCACAUUUCUCCACCAAGAAACCAAUGGACUAUGAUAUUGCCCUUUUGAAGAUGGCUGGAGCCUUCCAAUUUGGCCACUUUGUGGGGCCCAUAUGUCUUCCAGAGCUGCGGGAGCAAUUUGAGGCUGGUUUUAUUUGUACAACUGCAGGCUGGGGCCGCUUAACUGAAGGUGGCGUCCUCUCACAAGUCUUGCAGGAAGUGAAUCUGCCUAUUUUGACCUGGGAAGAGUGUGUGGCAGCUCUGUUAACACUAAAGAGGCCCAUCAGUGGGAAGACCUUUCUUUGCACAGGUUUUCCUGAUGGAGGGAGAGACGCAUGUCAGGGAGAUUCAGGAGGUUCACUCAUGUGCCGGAAUAAGAAAGGGGCCUGGACUCUGGCUGGUGUGACUUCCUGGGGUUUGGGCUGUGGUCGAGGCUGGAGAAACAAUGUGAGGAAAAGUGAUCAAGGAUCCCCUGGGAUCUUCACAGACAUUAGUAAAGUGCUUCCCUGGAUCCACGAACACAUCCAAACUGGUAACUAAGCCAUCACACAAGGUUAAGAAGCUGCCAUUCUGCUAGGGCCAGAGACAGCAUCAGCAGAGUCCUGGCAAAUCAGAGCACCUGAACCAACAGGCUCUACCUCUGUUCUCAGUGUAGCACACAAGGAUUGUGAGGUUUACCAAGUCUAAAUAAAACAAGAGUAAAAUAUGGUAUGUGGAGCAGCAUGCAGAUAUUCAAUGAAAAAUGAAUCCAUCCAUCCUAGACCUUCUCAAACUGGCCUUUAAUUGAAACUAUCUCAGUUGAUGAUAUGCUUUCACCACUUACUUCUCUGGAUUCAGAG